GAGGCUCGACGCAUUUAUUUCAGGUAACGACAAUAUCAAUUCAAAAAAUUUUGAGAUAAAAUAUGAAGAUAAGAUCUCCUGGAUGAUAAAAAUUAGGUCAAAAGAUAAAUAUGAAGAUAAAAUCUCUUGACCGAUGAAAAUCAGACCAAAAAGCAGGUGAGGAGAUAAGAUCUCCUGGUCGAUAAAAAAUCAAAUCAAAAAGUCAGUAUAGAGAUAAGAUCUCUUGAUCGGUAAAAAUCAGAUCAAAAGACAAAUAUGGAGAUAAGAUCUUCUGGCCGAUGAAA
This 284-nucleotide long non-coding RNA is filed under the name Elaeis guineensis (African oil palm). Its description in RNAcentral is "long non-coding RNA (EGUI_LNC037848)". The record is from RNAcentral. Lineage: Eukaryota; Viridiplantae; Streptophyta; Magnoliopsida; Arecales; Arecaceae.